GAGUUUGUUUUAUGUUAUUCACGUAUAUCCUCAUUUCCCCAUCAAAUCUGGUUUAGGAGAAUGAAAGAUUUGAUUACCAAAAAACACUUGAAUAUCGAAAAUCGAAAAAUUAAAAAUCGCAUCGGAGGAUUACAGAUUAAUCGAAUCUGUAAUUAAUCGAAAAUCGAAAAUCGUCUUUAUAGAUCAUAGGGUGGAGUCAGAGGGUGGGGGUGUCAUUCAGGGAGGAGGAAAAG
This 233-nucleotide long non-coding RNA is filed under the name Panax ginseng (ginseng). RNAcentral's name for it is "long non-coding RNA (PGIN_LNC007957)". The record is from RNAcentral. Lineage: Eukaryota; Viridiplantae; Streptophyta; Magnoliopsida; Apiales; Araliaceae.